GCAGCCUGCAACUCGGCUGCAUGAAGCUGGAAUCGCUAGUAAUCGCGGAUCAGAAUGCCGCGGUGAAUACGUUCCCGGGUCUUGUACACACCGCCCGUCACACCAUGGGGGUCGGGAAUGCCCGAAGUCAGUGACCCAACCGAAAGGGGGGAGCUGCCGAAGGCAGGCCUGGUAACUGGGGUGAAGUCGUAACAAGGUAUC
Molecule: ribosomal RNA, 201 nt
Filed under: uncultured bacterium
Lineage: Bacteria
Description: partial 16S ribosomal RNA
Rfam family: Bacterial small subunit ribosomal RNA
Source: RNAcentral